CCCUUAGAUGUUCUGGGCUGCACGCGCGCUACACUGAUGCGUUCAACGAGUUUAUGACCUUGCCCGAUAGGGUUGGGUAAUCUUUUUAAAUCGCAUCGUGAUGGGGAUAGAUUAUUGCAAUUAUUAAUCUUCAACGAGGAAUGCCUAGUAAGCGCAAGUCAUCAGCUUGCGUUGAUUACGUCCCUGCCCUUUGUACACACCGCCCGUCGCUCCUACCGAUUGAAUGGUCCGGUGAAGCGUUCGGACCGUGGCCUUUGGACGGUUCGCCGUCUGUUGGCUGCGGGAAGUUCGUUAAACCUUAUCAUUUAGAGGAAGGAGAAGUCGUANCA
RNAcentral lists this ribosomal RNA (329 nucleotides) under uncultured eukaryote. RNAcentral's name for it is "partial 18S ribosomal RNA". It matches the Rfam family "Eukaryotic small subunit ribosomal RNA", at positions 1470 to 1796 of the family's 1831-position model. The record is from RNAcentral.